RNAcentral lists this ribosomal RNA (414 nucleotides) under uncultured microorganism. Its description in RNAcentral is "bacterial SSU rRNA". It matches the Rfam family "Archaeal small subunit ribosomal RNA", at positions 459 to 872 of the family's 1478-position model. The record is from RNAcentral.
CAGCAGCCGCGGUAAUACCGGCGGCCCGAGUGGCGGUCACUAUUAUUGGGCUUAAAGCGUCCGUAGCCGGGUUGGGAAGUCCUCCGGGAAAUCUGGCCGCUUAACGGUCAGAAUGCCGGAGGAUACUCCCAGCCUAGGGGGCGGGAGAGGCCGAGGGGAUUCCCGGGGUGGGGGUGAAAUCCUAUAAUCCCGGGAGGGCCACCUGUGGGGAAGGCGCUCGGCUGGAACGCGUCCGACGGUGAGGGACGAAGGCCAGGGGAGCAAACCGGAUUAGAUACCCGGGUAGUCCUGGCUGUAAACGAUGCGGACUUUGUGUCGGACAAGCUAUGAGCUUGUCCGGUGCCGGAGGGAAACCGUUAAGUCCGCCGCCUGGGGAGUACGGCCGCAAGGCUGAAACUUAAAGGAAUUGGCGGG